Molecule: ribosomal RNA, 501 nt
Filed under: uncultured bacterium
Lineage: Bacteria
Description: partial 16S ribosomal RNA
Rfam family: Bacterial small subunit ribosomal RNA
Source: RNAcentral
AUUGAACGCUGGCGGCAGGCUUAACACGUUCAAGUCGAGCGGGGGAAGGUAGCUUGCUACCGGACCUAGCGGCGGACGGGUGAGUAAUGCUUAGGAAUCUGCCUAUUAGUGGGGGACAACAUCUCGAAAGGGAUGCUAAUACCGCAUACGUCCUACGGGAGACAGCAGGGGAUCUUCGGACCCUGCGCUCAUAGAUGAGCCUAAGUCGGAUUAGCUAGUUGGUGGGGUAAAGGCCUACCAAGGCGACGAUCUGUAGCGUGUCUGAGAGGAUGAUCCGCCCCACUAUGAGUAAGACACAGUCCGUACUCCUACGCGAGGCAGCAUUGGUGAAUAUUUGUCAAUGAGGGGAACCCUGAUCCAGUCGUGCCGCGUGUGUAAAGUGGGCCUUAUGUUUGUACAGCACUUUAAGCGAUGAUGAGGCUAUUUUAGUUAAUGCCUUGAUGUAGUGGACGUUACUCGCAGAAUAUGCGCCGACUAACGCUGUGCCAGCCGCCGCAGUAA